AGAGAUGUGUGAUGACGCAUAUCAAUAAGCGGAGGAAAAGAAACUAACAAGGAUUCCCUUAGUAACGGCGAGUGAAGCGGGAAGAGCUCAAAUUUGAAAUCUUCAAGGUUCUACCUUGACGAAUUGUAGUUUAUAAGAAGUGUUUUCUGUUAGUAGGAGUGGCAAAAGUUCUUUGGAAUAGGACAUCAUAGAGGGUGAGAAUCCCGUAUUUGGUCAUUCCUUUCUAGCUUUGUGAUACACUUUCAACGAGUCGGAUUGUUUGGGAAUGCAGUCCAAAAUGGGUGGUAAAUUUCAUCUAAAGCUAAAUAUUGGCGAGAGACCGAUAGCGAACAAGUACCGUGAGGGAAAGAUGAAAGAACUUUGAAAAGAGAGUUAAACAGUACGUGAAAUUGUCAAAAGGGAAGCGUUUGACACCAGUGUUGUUUUUCCGAAAAUCAAUUACGAAUGUUUUAUUUUUGAGAAGUUAUGACUUCAUCGGCUUGCUUCUCUCUUUAUGAAACUUUCUUAAUGCACUUUUCGGUUAACAAGUCAACAUCAAUUUCUUUUGUUGUAAAAGGGUAUGAGGAAGGUGGCUUUCUUUUCGGAGAAAGUGUUUAUAGCCUUGUACCUCUGCAAUCGGAGAGAUUGAGGUCUGCAGCGUAGAUCCUUCGGGGUUAGAUACAUUUGUGCUAAGUUAUAGCUUUUCAUAGACAACUUGUUGACUAUGUUAAGUCUUGUAGCUUACUCGCUUAUACUAUUUUACCUACGCUUAGGAUGUUGACGAUCAGCUGAGCGCG
Molecule: ribosomal RNA, 776 nt
Filed under: uncultured Neocallimastigales
Lineage: Eukaryota; Fungi; Neocallimastigomycota; Neocallimastigomycetes; Neocallimastigales
Description: partial large subunit ribosomal RNA
Rfam family: Eukaryotic large subunit ribosomal RNA
Source: RNAcentral